AUACGGAGGGUGCAAGCGUUACUCGGAAUCACUGGGCGUAAAGCGCGCGCAGGCGGCUAUUUAAGUUGGAUGUGAAAGCCUACGGCUCAACCGUAGAACUGCAUCCAAAACUAUUUAGCUAGAGUGUGGGAGAGGAAGAUGGAAUUAGUUGUGUAGGGGUAAAAUCCGUAGAGAUAACUAGGAAUACCAAAAGCGAAGGCAAUCUUCUGGAACACUACUGACGCUGAGGCGCGAAAGCGUGGGGAGCAAACGGGAUUAGAUACACCAGUAGUCC
RNAcentral lists this ribosomal RNA (274 nucleotides) under uncultured bacterium. Its description in RNAcentral is "partial 16S ribosomal RNA". It matches the Rfam family "Bacterial small subunit ribosomal RNA", at positions 523 to 796 of the family's 1533-position model. The record is from RNAcentral.